UCGGAGCGUGUGGUUUAAUUCGACGAUACGCGAAGAACCUUACCUGGGUUUGACAUCAAGGUAGUAGCAAGGUGAAAGCUGCGCGACCCUUCGGGGAGCCUUGACAGGUGCUGCAUGGCUGUCGUCAGCUCGUGUCGUGAGAUGUUGGGUUAAGUCCCGCAACGAGCGCAACCCUCGUCGUUAGUUACAAGUGUCUAACGAGACUGCUGGUUUCAAACCGGAGGAAGGUGGGGAUGACGUCAAGUCAGCAUGGUCUUUAUAUCCAGGGCUACACACCACGCUACAAUGGCCGGUACAAUUGGUUGCCACACCGCAAGGUGGAGCUAAUCCUCAAAGCCGGUCUCAGUUCAGAUUGUCGUCUGCAACUCGACGGCAUGAAGGCGGAGUUGCUAGUAACCGCAUAA
RNAcentral lists this ribosomal RNA (404 nucleotides) under uncultured bacterium. RNAcentral's name for it is "bacterial SSU rRNA". It matches the Rfam family "Bacterial small subunit ribosomal RNA", at positions 932 to 1349 of the family's 1533-position model. The record is from RNAcentral.